GAGUUCAAGAGUACGUGAACCGUUCAGGGGUAAACCUGAGAAACCCGAAAGGUCAACKKGGAAAUUCAUUCGCGUUUCGAUUGCCGGUGUAGAGUGGCAGUGUGACGGAUGGCUUCCGGGUCGUACGCGCCUGUUAUUUUUCAACCGGUAUCGAACGCGUGCACUUUUCCUCUUGUUGAUCGUUGCGAUCCGUUGGGUGUCGGUCUAAGGCCUGCGAGGUAGCCCUGUUGGUUUUUCCGGCAGGACCCGCGGUGUUUCCCGACCGACUCGCUCGACGGUAUACAGAUGGCGCAGAGCCGCGACUCAGUUCGCGUUCGGCCCAAGGCAAGCUGAGGUGAUGUGUCGGUGAUCGGACCUAGCGCCGGUCCUGGCCUCGCUUUACUGUUGGCUUUGGAGUUCUCGAACAGACUCUGUGAAACGCUGAUCGCAACGCUAUAGCUUUGGGUACUUUCAGGACCCGUCUUGAA
Molecule: ribosomal RNA, 467 nt
Filed under: Neopocadius nitiduloides
Lineage: Eukaryota; Metazoa; Arthropoda; Insecta; Coleoptera; Nitidulidae
Description: eukaryotic LSU rRNA
Source: RNAcentral